Molecule: transfer RNA, 71 nt
Filed under: Strigamia maritima
Lineage: Eukaryota; Metazoa; Arthropoda; Chilopoda; Geophilomorpha; Linotaeniidae
Rfam family: tRNA
About the family: Transfer RNA (tRNA) molecules are approximately 80 nucleotides in length. Their secondary structure includes four short double-helical elements and three loops (D, anti-codon, and T loops). Further hydrogen bonds mediate the characteristic L-shaped molecular structure. tRNAs have two regions of fundamental functional importance: the anti-codon, which is responsible for specific mRNA codon recognition, and the 3' end, to which the tRNAs corresponding amino acid is attached (by aminoacyl-tRNA synthetases). tRNAs cope with the degeneracy of the genetic code in two manners: having more than one tRNA (with a specific anti-codon) for a particular amino acid; and 'wobble' base-pairing, i.e. permitting non-standard base-pairing at the 3rd anti-codon position.
Source: Rfam by way of RNAcentral
CCUCAGGUAGCUUAAUGGUAAAGCACCCAACCGGCAAUUGGGGGAUCUGGGUUCAAGUCCAGACCCGGGCU